This 71-nucleotide transfer RNA is filed under the name Pseudochirops albertisii (D'Albertis' ringtail). RNAcentral's name for it is "tRNA-Gln". It matches the Rfam family "tRNA". Rfam says of the family: Transfer RNA (tRNA) molecules are approximately 80 nucleotides in length. Their secondary structure includes four short double-helical elements and three loops (D, anti-codon, and T loops). The record is from RNAcentral. Lineage: Eukaryota; Metazoa; Chordata; Mammalia; Diprotodontia; Pseudocheiridae.
UAGAAUGUGGUGUAAAGGAAGCACAGAGGAUUUUGGGUUCUUGGGUGUAGGUUCGAGUCCUAUUGUUCUAG